This 1683-nucleotide non-coding RNA is filed under the name Pan troglodytes (chimpanzee). Lineage: Eukaryota; Metazoa; Chordata; Mammalia; Primates; Hominidae. The record is from RNAcentral.
GGUUCACAAAGGGGGCCCGAGAGGGGCGAAGGGGGCUGCCCGGGGCACGGCUCAUCCCCACACCUGCGCGGGGGUUGGGGGAAGAAUGUGGCCGGCGCAUUCCUCUGCUGGGGCCAGCGGGGGAGAACUUCCCACGUCGAGACUGGGUGAGGGGCUCAGCCAUCCGGCAUCUCGGAGGAGGGGGUCAAGCGCCUGGCCGGGCUCCUGCUCCGCGCCUCCCGCCUCCAAGGUCACUUCAGCCUCCCUGAAGACCGCCCGGCACGGCUCGGAGGCCGCGCACUGCAGCCAGCAAACCUGCGCCCGAGGGCAGAGAGUGAAGGAGGCUGGGUCCAGGCGUGCCCGGCCCUGCACUCCCCACACUGCAGGGUCCUCACGGGCCUUCCGGGACUCCCUUGGCCCCAGGGAGCGCAGCCCCGCGCUCUCCCCGACGCCACUGCCCCAUGCGGACCCCGCCCGCCCCCCAGGGAGCGGUCCCGGUCGGGGCCAGGGCGAGGCUGUGGAGUACCUGGAGAAGGAGGAGAGACGCGAGAGGUCCACGAGGGAGCCCCAUGGCUGCAGAGAGAAGGGUGAGGCAGCUGCCGCGACGGCGGGCCGGUGCUCCGCUCAGCUCUUGCCCCUUUGAGCACCGCAGCCCCCGGGAGCCAGCGGGAGGAGGCCAGGUGAGCGCAGGUGGGUGCUGAUUGGUCCAGCGCCACGAGGUCCCGCCCCCUCGCAGGUGGGACCGAUGCGGGUGCGGUUGAGGCCCCAGCGAACCCCUCCUGGCCUCCCGGAUGCCCUCCUGUGCUCUCCUGGCUUUUCUGGAGCUGUUCUCUGCAAGGACUCAGCCUCUGUCUCGCAGUUCUGGGUUAGAGGAGAAAAGAACACCCAGUGCACUCCUCAGCCUCCUCAGUACGGGAAGAGAAAUGUUUCCUUGCCUUGCGGCUGCAGCGGAAAAAAGUGGAGACACAUCUGAAGUCGACUGAAAACGGAGGCUCCGCAUUCAUUAUCCCCCGGAGGCGCUGUUAUCCCAAAGCUUUGAAGCAGGCCCGUGCGUCCUCCCACACGCGGCUACAGCGGGGCCGCCCAAGCCUCUUUCUCCACCUCCCGUGCCAGCCCGCCGGGGAGGAUCCUCCGGGGUAUAAAACUAGCAGGUCCCGAAGGACCGCGUUUCUGAAUUGGAUACAACUUCCUCUUUUUUCUUUUUUUUUUUUUUUUUGGAGACAGGGUCUCGCUCUGUCGCCCAGGAGUGCAGUAGCGCGAUCUCGGCUCACUACAGCCUCGACCUCCUGGGCUGAAGCGAUUCUCCUCCCUCAGCUCCCGCUGAGACUACAGGCUUGCGCCACCACACCCGGCUAAUUUUUAAAAAUUUUUUGUAGCGAUGUGGUGGGGCGGGGGGAGGGUGGAGGGUCACCCUAUGUUGCCCAAGCUGGUCUCGAACUUGUGGACUCAAGCGAUCCUCCGCCUCCCAGAGUGCUCAGGUUACAGGCGUGAGCCGCCACACCCGGACCGCUUCUUCCAUUUCACAGCUAAACAAAGGGAAGCUAGUCGAGAAAGUCCCAGAGUUUGGAAGCUGUAGUGGUGCCAAAGGGUGCGAGCUAAGAGGGUUGUUAUUAGUCUCAUAAUCUCCAGCACCCCUACCCCCCAUAUAAAUAACACUUUCUCAACUUUCUGUAAAAUGUAAAUAAAGACAAUUUUUAAAACGCA